This 550-nucleotide ribosomal RNA is filed under the name uncultured bacterium. Its description in RNAcentral is "bacterial SSU rRNA". It matches the Rfam family "Bacterial small subunit ribosomal RNA", at positions 355 to 896 of the family's 1533-position model. The record is from RNAcentral.
UAGGGAAUCUUCGGCAAUGGACGGAAGUCUGACCGAGCAACGCCGCGUGAGUGAAGAAGGUUUUCGGAUCGUAAAGCUCUGUUGUAAGAGAAGAACGAGUGUGAGAGUGGAAAGUUCACACUGUGACGGUAUCUUACCAGAAAGGGACGGCUAACUACGUGCCAGCAGCCGCGGUAAUACGUAGGUCCCGAGCGUUGUCCGGAUUUAUUGGGCGUAAAGCGAGCGCAGGCGGUUAGAUAAGUCUGAAGUUAAAGGCUGUGGCUUAACCAUAGUAGGCUUUGGAAACUGUUUAACUUGAGUGCAAGAGGGGAGAGUGGAAUUCCAUGUGUAGCGGUGAAAUGCGUAGAUAUAUGGAGGAACACCGGUGGCGAAAGCGGCUCUCUGGCUUGUAACUGACGCUGAGGCUCGAAAGCGUGGGGAGCAAACAGGACUAGAUACCCUGGUAGUCCACGCUGUAAACGAUGAGUGCUAGGUGUUAGACCCUUUCCGGGGUUUAGUGCCGUAGCUAACGCAUUAAGCACUCCGCCUGGGGAGUACGACCGCAAGGUUG